AGGAAUGAGCUGCUGACAGAAUACAGUAAACCCUCUGGAGAGCUGAGAGCUGUUUUGUUUCUUAAAGCAUCCUCAAGUAACAAGCAUCCUUUACCUUCAUCUGAUUGAGUUUCCUGACUUAUAACUGAACUUAUGAGGCAACAUACCUCUAGAGAGCGGCCCAGACCUUUAUAUAUUUUUCUGUAUGUGGCCCUCGGUGAAAAAGGUUUGGACCCCCCUGUUCUAGACCAAUGAGUGGUUACUUCCUGUCAUGCAGCUGAGAGCUGUGGCAGGCAGUCGUAGUGUUUGCAGAGAAGAUAUGAUGGGAUGUAAAGCAUGAGAUCAGGACUCUGAAGCUGACUCAAAGAACAAACACUUAUUUUAAACUGGAUCUUAAACUGUUGGAUUGUGUUCAUCUCUACAGGAUCGGACUAGGAGAGCCGAUCAGAGCCACGAUCCAGAAGACCUGUGACAGGAAGUGAAGACACACAGAAAGUUUAUUCAUCACGGGGCGAGUUUGAGACGUGAAGAGGAGCGCGGAGGCAUUUUGGAAAAUAAAGAAGAAGGCUGCAGCUGAUGAGAGACUUCCUGUUGGCUCUCCUCAAUAUGAAAUGAACAAAAACAAUCAAUUGUACUUAAAGCUUUUCUUCAGAAGAGAGAUGUGUUGCUCAUACACCUGCUGCUACCUACCACCACCUCCCACCCAUCCCGGCACCAAAGAGGAGACUCCAUCGACCCCAGAUACCCCGACUCACUCUUCUUCAGGUUAGCUUGGAGCCCCGCCUUCUCCACCCUGCCUCCGACCUUUCUCCCCUGCCCCAAAUGGUCCUGGACUCUCUCUCUCACACACACAC
Long non-coding RNA from Trematomus bernacchii (emerald rockcod), 833 nucleotides. RefSeq lists it as uncharacterized. NCBI's taxonomy places the organism in Eukaryota, Metazoa, Chordata, Actinopteri, Perciformes, Nototheniidae. The record is from RefSeq and is a predicted model, not a curated record. The transcript has 3 exons.